This 700-nucleotide ribosomal RNA is filed under the name uncultured bacterium. RNAcentral describes it as "bacterial SSU rRNA". It matches the Rfam family "Bacterial small subunit ribosomal RNA", at positions 42 to 788 of the family's 1533-position model. The record is from RNAcentral.
UCAGGCCUAACACAUGCAAGUCGAACGCCCUCUUCGGAGGGAGUGGCAGACGGGUGAGUAACGCGUGGGAACCUACCUAUCAGUACGGAACAACUCAGGGAAACUUGUGCUAAUACCGUAUACGUCCUUCGGGAGAAAGAUUUAUCGCUGAUAGAUGGGCCCGCGUUAGAUUAGCUAGUUGGUGAGGUAACGGCUCACCAAGGCGACGAUCUAUAGCUGGUCUGAGAGGAUGAUCAGCCACACUGGAACUGAGACACGGUCCAGACUCCUACGGGAGGCAGCAGUGGGGAAUAUUGGACAAUGGGCGCAAGCCUGAUCCAGCCAUGCCGCGUGAGUGAUGAAGGCCCUAGGGUUGUAAAGCUCUUUCAACGGUGAAGAUAAUGACGGUAGCCGUAGAAGAAGCCCCGGCUAACUUCGUGCCAGCAGCCGCGGUAAUACGAAGGGGGCGAGCGUUGUUCGGAAUCACUGGGCGUAAAGCGUACGUAGGCGGAUAGAUUAGUUAGGGGUGAAAUCCCGAGGCUCAACCUCGGAACUGCCUCUAAUACUGUCUAUCUAGAGAUCGAGAGAGGUGAGUGGAAUUCCUAGUGUAGAGGUGAAAUUCGUAGAUAUUAGGAAGAACACCAGUGGCGAAGGCGGCUCACUGGCUCGAUACUGACGCUGAGGUACGAAAGCGUGGGGAGCAAACAGGAUUAGAUACCCU